UACGUAGGGUGCGAGCGUUGUCCGGAAUUAUUGGGCGUAAAGAGCUCGUAGGCGGUGUGUCACGUCGUUCGUGAAAACCUGCAGCUUAACUGUGGGCGUGCGGUCGAUACGGGCAUCACUGGAGUUCGGCAGGGGAGACUGGAAUUCCUGGUGUAGCGGUGAAAUGCGCAGAUAUCAGGAGGAACACCGAUGGCGAAGGCAGGUCUCUGGGCCACUACUGACGCUGAGAAGCGAAAGCAUGGGGAGCGAACAGG
RNAcentral lists this ribosomal RNA (254 nucleotides) under uncultured bacterium. RNAcentral describes it as "partial 16S ribosomal RNA". It matches the Rfam family "Bacterial small subunit ribosomal RNA", at positions 524 to 776 of the family's 1533-position model. The record is from RNAcentral.